UGGGGACAAAGGCUACGUGUGCUUUUUCAGUGGGCUGGGAGUGGAUGCGGUGUCUCUCCGGCCUACUUGCUUCUUUUGCUUUGAACAGCCGAAAAUGGAGCUGAUAAUUUGCACUUUCAUGGAAAAGAAAAGAUGGCGUCUUCUCCAGUUGUGCGGGAGUUGGGGAUCAACACUAAGACCUACACCAUGAAGCACAGACCACUGUCUGCACACGCCAACCUUUCCUUCAGAUACAGUCUGCUGGCCUAUCAAUGUCAUCCUCAAAAAAAAAAAAAAACUUUUUCAAGAGUGACCUUUUCCAUUAGUUCUGCACCCCAUUUUGCAUUGUGUACUUGGGGGGUAUUUUUUACUCUUGUCUGACAAGAUCAACAGCUGAGCAUUCAGAGAUUUGUGCGGAUUAAAGUGUCAAGCUAUGAGUUUGAAAUUGGAGAAAUCGGCAAAGGAAAACAAGGGUGAGGAUUGAUCCCUGGGAUGCAAGCCCGGUGACGACCCUGUUCGAAAGUUGACACUGUAGGAGUUGGAGGCAUUUCUGAUCAUGACAGAAAUGUUAGUGGAGUAUAUGACUUCAGAUGUGCAUUUCGGUGGAGAAAAGCAUACUGAAGCUCAACUGAGAGGGGGGGAAAAGUCAAAAGUGAUGGCUGACAUUGAUCUAAUCCAGGAGAGAGAGGAGACAAGUUUUCAGAAUCGGUUUCAUUCAGGAUUUCAGUCAACAAGAACCAUGUGAUGCUGAAGCCUCUCAAGGAAGAGCUGGACAGCAAGCUGCUGGAAUUGAGGAAAAAAUGUCACCUGAAGAACCUGGGGAAAAACAAGUUUCUACACUCUGUGAGGACUCUAGAGGACAGCUCUUGGAGCUGAUCAUUGGGAGAGGAGAGAGCGCAUGAAGCAUCAGGAAUUCGAUGGUAGUGGAGUGGGGACUCGGGAGGACAUGGCCCACUCUGAGACCAGAUCAGAUGCAUUGGGCAAUAACUGACAGUCAGUCAGCUGAUUUGCGGUGCCAUAGAAGACUGGUGAAGAAGUACAUUGGGGCAGCACUAUACGUGUUGUACCUUAACACAUGAAAAAUAUUAUCCAUGUUCUGUGUUAGAAUCAGAGUUUUUGUUAACAUGGAUUUUGACCUGGGACUCAAGUCUUUGUUGCUUUAGGGGCUUUGGUGUCCCCGAGAAGUUUUAAUUAAAUGCUGAUUGAAACAGU
Lepisosteus oculatus (spotted gar) is the source of this 1191-nucleotide non-coding RNA. The record is from RefSeq and is a predicted model, not a curated record. NCBI's taxonomy places the organism in Eukaryota, Metazoa, Chordata, Actinopteri, Semionotiformes, Lepisosteidae.